This 72-nucleotide transfer RNA is filed under the name Capra hircus (goat). It matches the Rfam family "tRNA". Rfam says of the family: Transfer RNA (tRNA) molecules are approximately 80 nucleotides in length. Their secondary structure includes four short double-helical elements and three loops (D, anti-codon, and T loops). The record is from Rfam by way of RNAcentral. Lineage: Eukaryota; Metazoa; Chordata; Mammalia; Artiodactyla; Bovidae. RNAcentral also lists the same sequence under 1 other name.
UCCCCUAUGGCUCAGAUGGUAAAGAAUCUGCCUGCAAUGCAGGAGACCUAGGUUUGAUCCCUGGGUUGGGAA